UAUUGCAGCCCAAGACUGGUUGCCCACUGAAGCUAAGCAGGGUUGAGCCUGGUCAGUGCCUGGAUGGGAGACCUCCUGGGAAAACUAGGUUGCUGCUGGAA
Molecule: ribosomal RNA, 101 nt
Filed under: Sinocyclocheilus grahami
Lineage: Eukaryota; Metazoa; Chordata; Actinopteri; Cypriniformes; Cyprinidae
Source: RNAcentral